RNAcentral lists this ribosomal RNA (749 nucleotides) under uncultured Halobacteria archaeon. RNAcentral's name for it is "bacterial SSU rRNA". It matches the Rfam family "Archaeal small subunit ribosomal RNA", at positions 527 to 1272 of the family's 1478-position model. The record is from RNAcentral. Lineage: Archaea; Methanobacteriati; Methanobacteriota; Halobacteria.
UGCUGUGUAAGUCCAUUGGGAAAUCGACCAGCUCAACUGGUCGGCGUCCGGUGGAAACUACACAGCUUGGGGCCGAGAGACUCAACGGGUACGUCCGGGGUAGGAGUGAAAUCCUGUAAUCCUGGACGGACCACCAAUGGGGAAACCACGUUGAGAGACCGGACCCGACAGUGAGGGACGAAAGCCAGGUUCUCGAACCAGAUUAGAUACCCGGGUAGUCCUGGCUGUAAACAAUGCUCGCUAGGUAUGUCACGCGCCAUGAGCACGUGAUGUGCCGUAGUGAAGACGAUAAGCGAGCCGCCUGGGAAGUACGUCCGCAAGGAUGAAACUUAAAGGAAUUGGCGGGGGAGCACCACAACCGGAGGAGCCUGCGGUUUAAUUGGACUCAACGCCGGACAUCUCACCGGUCCCGACAGUAGUAAUGACAGUCAGGUUGACGACUUUACUCGACGCUACUGAGAGGAGGUGCAUGGCCGCCGUCAGCUCGUACCGUGAGGCGUCCUGUUAAGUCAGGCAACGAGCGAGACCCACACUUCUAGUUGCCAGCAAACACCCCUGCGGUGGUUGGGUACACUAGGAGGACUGCCAUUGCUAAAAUGGAGGAAGGAAUGGGCAACGGUAGGUCAGUAUGCCCCGAAUGGACCGGGCAACACGCGGGCUACAAUGGCUCUGACAGUGGGAUGCAACGCCGAGAGGCGGAGCUAAUCUCCAAACGGAGUCGUAGUUCGGAUUGCGGGCUGAAAACCGCC